RNAcentral lists this ribosomal RNA (498 nucleotides) under uncultured bacterium. Its description in RNAcentral is "bacterial SSU rRNA". It matches the Rfam family "Bacterial small subunit ribosomal RNA", at positions 41 to 524 of the family's 1533-position model. The record is from RNAcentral.
GGCAUGCCUAUCAUGCAAGUCGAGCGGAAUGACGAGAGCUUGCUCUCUGAUUUUAGCGGCGGACGGGUGAGUAACACGUGGGCAACCUGCCCUACAGAUGGGGAUAACUCCGGGAAACCGGGGCUAAUACCGAAUAAUCAGUUUGUCCGCAUGGACAAACUCUGAAAGACGGUUUCGGCUGUCACUGUAGGAUGGGCCCGCGGCGCAUUAGCUAGUUGGUGGGGUAAUGGCCUACCAAGGCAACGAUGCGUAGCCGACCUGAGAGGGUGAUCGGCCACACUGGGACUGAGACACGGCCCAGACUCCUACGGGAGGCAGCAGUAGGGAAUCUUCCACAAUGGACGAAAGUCUGAUGGAGCAAUGCCGCGUGAGCGAAGAAGGUUUUCGGAUCGUAAAGCUCUGUUGUAAGGGAAGAACACGUACGGGAGUAACUGCCCGUGCCAUGACGGUACCUUAUUAGAAAGCCACGGCUAACUACGUGCCAGCAGCCGCGGUAAU